UUAAAAAGCUCGUAGUUGAAUUUCGGGGUUAGUAGGUUGGUCAUGCCUCUGGUAUGUACUGGUCUCACUGAUUCCUCCUUCCUGAUGAGCCGUAAUGCCAUUAGUUUGGUGUUGCGGGGAAUUUGGACUGUUACUUUGAAAAAAUUAGAGUGUUUAAAGCAAGCUAACGCUUGAAUACAUUAGCAUGGAAUAAUGAAAUAGGACGUUCGAUCCUAUUUUGUUGGUUUCUAGGAUUGACGUAAUGAUUAAUAGGGAUAGUUGGGGG
RNAcentral lists this ribosomal RNA (265 nucleotides) under uncultured Glomeromycotina. RNAcentral describes it as "partial 18S ribosomal RNA". It matches the Rfam family "Eukaryotic small subunit ribosomal RNA", at positions 619 to 888 of the family's 1831-position model. The record is from RNAcentral. Lineage: Eukaryota; Fungi; Glomeromycota.